GAAGCCAGGGCUGUUAUCACCUCUCCUUAGCCCUUUAAGUGCAGCAGGCUCUUUGGUGUCUCUCGCUGAAUGCCGCUUUGUUAAUUGCGACGGUAAACAGGACACAGCGCUGACCAUCGCCGUGUUUUGCUCAGGCGGCACUUACCACAAAACCGCUGGAUUUAGGAAAGGAGCCUGAGUCCAGGGGGAGUCACACACGAAGGAGGGUUCGUAGAAGUACUCAGCAUUUCCUGGACUUGCUUCUAUCAUUUAAAAUGUAUUGCAUACCUUGAAGUGAAUGUAAUGGCUGGCUUAAUUGGAGAUAACUUCACUGAAGUGGCCGUAGUUACCAUUUAUGUCAGCAGUGAAUGUGCCCUUUAACGCUGUGCCCCUCAGAAUUUCUACAAGAGAGGAAUUGGAGUCCUGGCAGAGUGAUCAGAAGUGUGACAUUCAGGAGAGGAAAAGAUAUUUCCGGAUCCUGUCACAGCAUCUGUAGAGCCAUAUUCCAGCUGUUCUCAGACUUUCCCAUUUCUGGAAGCCUGCCUCUCCUUCAGCUCCAACCACAAAUGUCCAUCCACACAAUAGAAAUCCAGUCAUUCUCCAAGAGGUCAGUCAAAGAAUAACUAAAGAUUACCCCAGAAUGUCUGUUAUUUUUUCACUCCCAUCUAAGGACCUUUAGAAUCACAAAGUCAGGCAUGAACUCAUUACGUCAAAGCAAGACACCAACUUUUUUGUGAACUCGCCCUGUUUGAAUUGCGUGUAAAUGUCUUUCCCAAAGUUGCUAAGGUCUUUAGCUCAGGCAUGUCCAAGCUGCAAAUCAGGAUGUCAAAAUAUGCAAGAAAAUGUUAAUGUCACAACCCCCUCCAAAAUAAAGGAAUUAACAGGUUUUCUGUUCUCUUUAAAAUUUAGGCAACUUGCUUGAUGACAAUCAGCAGUCCUGUCACUUUCAGAUGUCACCAGCUAUAUCUUGCUGCUGCUUUACUAUAGAUUUGAAGUUCUAUCUGCUCUUUGCUCUUUUUUGGUUGAAAAAAACUUCCCACCAUGGUGUCUAAAUACUUGGGAAAGCAUUUUCAAAAGACCCAAAAAUAUAUGCGGGAUGCUUCAGAUUUUGUUUAAAAAGAAAGAAAAAGGAAUAAAUCUUCAGAGUCCUGUUGAAUAUUUGUACAUCUGGAUAUAUUUGAUUCCUCAUGUCUUUAACCUCAACACUAGUGCACUGAACUGCACUGGAUCCUAAUUUCCAAUAACUUUUAGUAACUUAAUAUCCUAGUUAAUUUUUACAAUAUUACAUAUUAAGCUUACCUUCAUGCUGACCACUAGAACACAUGCUAUGUUGCUCAAAUAUGUACAUGUAGAAUGCUUGUGUGUGUACCACAAAUUAAAAAAAAU
Long non-coding RNA from Pyrgilauda ruficollis (rufous-necked snowfinch), 1365 nucleotides. RefSeq lists it as uncharacterized. Lineage: Eukaryota; Metazoa; Chordata; Aves; Passeriformes; Passeridae. The record is from RefSeq and is a predicted model, not a curated record. The transcript is spliced from 3 exons.